UACGAGGGGGGCGAGCGUUGUUCGGAAUUAUUGGGCGUAAAGGGUGCGUAGGCGGUUUGGUAAGUCUGAUGUGAAAUCUAUGGGCUCAACUCAUAGUCUGCAUCGGAAACUGCCGGGCUUGAGUGUGGGAGAGGUGAGUGGAAUUCCUGGUGUAGCGGUGGAAUGCGUAGAGAUCCGGAAGAACACCGGUGGCGAAGGCGGCCUUCUGGACAGUGACUGACGCUGAGACGCGAAAGCGUGGGGAGCAAACAGG
RNAcentral lists this ribosomal RNA (253 nucleotides) under uncultured bacterium. Its description in RNAcentral is "partial 16S ribosomal RNA". It matches the Rfam family "Bacterial small subunit ribosomal RNA", at positions 524 to 776 of the family's 1533-position model. The record is from RNAcentral.